Molecule: ribosomal RNA, 756 nt
Filed under: uncultured bacterium
Lineage: Bacteria
Description: bacterial SSU rRNA
Rfam family: Bacterial small subunit ribosomal RNA
Source: RNAcentral
AGAGUUUGAUCCUGGCUCAGAAUCAACGCUGGCGGCGUGCCUAACACAUGCAAGUCGAACGAGAAAGGGUAGCAAUACCUGAGUAAAGUGGCGCACGGGUGAGUAACACGUGACUAACCUACCCUGGAGUGGGGGAUAACUGAGGGAAACCUUAGCUAAUACCGCAUAAUACCCACGGGUCAAAGGAGCAAUUCGCUCUGGGAGGGGGUCGCGGCCGAUUAGUUAGUUGGCGGGGUAAUGGCCCACCAAGACUGUGAUCGGUAUCCGGCCUGAGAGGGCGCACGGACACACUGGAACUGAAACACGGUCCAGACUCCUACGGGAGGCAGCAGUGGGGAAUUUUGCGCAAUGGGGGAAACCCUGACGCAGCAACGCCGCGUGGAGGAUGAAGUACUUCGGUACGUAAACUCCUUUCGAUCGGGACGAUUAUGACGGUACCGGAAGAAGAAGCCCCGGCUAACUUCGUGCCAGCAGCCGCGGUAAUACGAGGGGGGCAAGCGUUGUUCGGAAUUAUUGGGCGUAAAGGGUGCGUAGGCGGUUUGGUAAGUCUGAUGUGAAAUCUAUGGGCUCAACUCAUAGACUGCAUCGGAAACUGCCGGGCUUGAGUGUGGGAGAGGUGAGUGGAAUUUCCGGUGUAGCGGUGAAAUGCGUAGAUAUCGGAAGGAACACCUGUGGCGAAAGCGGCUCACUGGACCACAACUGACGCUGAUGCACGAAAGCUAGGGGAGCAAACAGGAUUAGAUACCCCGGUAGUCC